Felis catus (domestic cat) is the source of this 2514-nucleotide long non-coding RNA. RefSeq lists it as uncharacterized. NCBI's taxonomy places the organism in Eukaryota, Metazoa, Chordata, Mammalia, Carnivora, Felidae. The transcript has 2 exons. The record is from RefSeq and is a predicted model, not a curated record.
UUGUAUCCCGGAGACCAUGGUCCUGAGGGGGAGUUGAUCCUGAUCCUGAGGGGUGUGAGAAGAUUUGAGGAGGGUGGCUGGGAUUCUGAUGCAGGAGGGACGGGUCCUGGGGAGGUGGGGAGUAUGGAGAAGGCCCCGAGAGGAUGGACAGACUUGGAGGGGAGGGAAGCCCCUGGUUUGGGGGCAGCAAAGGGGUGGGGAGGUGGUGGGGAGCAGGGGUGGUAAAAAGGAAGUAGGCCGCACCCCGCGGCAGAAAACUUCCACCUGCCUGAAGCUCCCAAGAGGAUAGACAGAGGGCAGCAGGGGCUGGGAACAGAGUGGGCCUGGGUAGAGAAGGAGUCCGGGUGGGGGAGGUCCCGGCACAAAGAGCAGCGGAGCCCUGCCCCCCCAGCUGACCUGUCCUGACAGCCACUGUUGUGGUCCCUUGUGCACUCAGUUUGGCCCUCGUUUCCUCCCUACUCCAACAGGCCUGGUUUCCCAUCCGUCUUCCAUCUGCUGGGACAUCCCAGGGCAGGGCUCCUGGAGCCCAAAUCCCAUCCUGACUCCACCUCCCACCUGCCAUGCUUCCAGGGCCAAGGCCUGAACCUCGUGGCACCUGUUUUUCCCUGUGAAGUUCAUUCCACCUGCUCUGGUUACCCACACUGAGCGUGCAGGAGCGCCUUCUGCCCCGCUCAGAACUCUUGGCACCCGGCUUGGAGCCUCUCUGGAUCUCCAGCACACGGGCGUCUUCGUCGCCUCAGCUCCCACAGCUCAGCUGGCCUCCGUUUCCCUCUGUGAGGGAGAAUGGAAGCCAUGGUUCCGGUUUCCUCAGCCUCCUGCCCUCCCUCCCCUCCGUAGGGGCACCUCCCAGCGCCUCUCCUGGCUCCUUCCCGCCGCAGAGGGACAAGGUCAGGUCUCGGCCAUCUUGAGGAGCCUGGCUUCGUCCGAGCAGCUCCUGCCUGCCCGCAGCCGCGCUUCGGGAACGGAGCGUCGGCCGCCUACCGUGCCGUUCUCUCCGUCACUCCUCACUCUUCACCUCACAGCCUGGGCCGCUAGCACCUGUGGUGGAGGUCAAGUCUAACCGAGCUCGUUCACACCAGGUCAGCGGAGGCCCUGGACUCUUCAGCCUUUAUUCUGUUGACACUCUGGCCCCUCGAAGCUGUGCCUUGGCUUCUGUGACAUCACACUCUGAGGUUUCCCUCGUCUCCCCGCUUCUCUCAUGCACCGGCUGCGCUCGCCCCUCUCAGGUGGCCUCACCCCUCCUGCGGCUUCAGUGGUCAAUACUCCUGAACCUUCUCCCUCCAGCCCUGACGUCUGCCGGAGCUUCAGGACUGGUGGCUCCACGCAGGCGUCUUCCCAGCCGGGGGCAGCCCUGCGCCGCUGGAGCACAGGCACAGCCCGGGCUGCCUCUCCCGCGGGGAUGGGCCUGAGCCCCGCACCGCGGGCCUGAGCGUACCCAGAGUGCAAGGGCGGGCCCGGAAAGAGGAACUGGAGGUUGAGUUCACAAGAGGAAAUCAAGAGUAAAAGCCUGACUCCACGAGGAAGGUGAGUCACAAGGAGCAGGCAGAAGCAGGAAGUGGCCUGAGAAAGAGAAAGUUCCUCCGAGGCCACCACAGGGAUCCUCCUUGGCUGGGCGCGGGGACGAGAGUUCCGCGGUCUCAGGAGGUCACGCUGCCAGGCACCCCACCGCCUCUGCCCGAACGGAGACACCUUCUGGACUCCCUUGUCCGUCCUGCACAUCCAAGCAGUUAGCUUGAGUCAGUUUCUCUCCGCCCCUAGUUCGGGCCGCGGUCUGCCACCCGCAGGGCUGUAAGGGCCUCAGUGUCAGCCGGCGCGGCCUGGCCUCGCUCUCGUCUCCUCCGAAUCCCGUCCCCACAGCAGCUGGAGGGACCCUUCCUUCCACAGCAGGAGCUCACUCACUCCGCCACAACCACCGGGCCCUGCUCUCUGCCCUUAGGAACCGGCCUGUGUCCCCGCUGAUCUGACCUCUGCUGACCUCUUUAGCUGUACUGCUCAGUGUCACUGGCCCUGAUAAUACCCCACACAGUCACGGAUACAACCACACAGAUUUCACACACACAGAUACAACCACACGGACACUCACAGGACACUCACAGAUACAAUCACACGAUUCUCACACAGUACAAACACACUUAGCCGCUCCCCCCCCCCCCCCCCCCGCCCACGCACCCAGUACGCUCACCCACACACAGCCUGGGCGUCAGCCUCACUGACGGGUCCCGCGUCCCUGCUGCCCCCUGGUCCUGGCGUUUGCAGGAGCUGCUGCUCGCCCGCUAAUGCCUUCCCACCACUGUGGGCUCACCCCCUCCAGAAAGCCUUUCCUAACCCCCUAAGCUGGGCCCCUCAGGAAGGGGAAGAACCAACGUGGCCCAAGGAUUCUGUUAAGAAUCAAGCCCAAAAGGAGAAGACUUACUUUUUUGUGAAGCUUUGAGAUUUCUUUUAUUUUGUAUCUCCCCGCGUCUUUAUUUUUGCCGACGCAUUGUCUCAGUCGUUACAAUAAAGCCUUUCCGAGGA